This 1674-nucleotide long non-coding RNA is filed under the name Triticum aestivum (bread wheat). RNAcentral describes it as "long non-coding RNA (TAES_LNC008763)". The record is from RNAcentral. Lineage: Eukaryota; Viridiplantae; Streptophyta; Magnoliopsida; Poales; Poaceae.
AAUCAGGCCCAAGGUUAAUUUCACAUCAACUACUUGUUUUGCUUCUACUCAACUAUGAACUACAUUCAACAACAAAAAAUGUAAUGAUGAUCAGCGAACGUUCGUUGAGAGGGAUGACAAUUGCAAACAUUUCGAUAGCAAUUUUAGUUGUCGUGAGGAUGACAAUUUUAGUUUGCAAGCACGGGAAUUUUCUGGCGAAAAACAAAACUGCAACGGAGUUUCCGCUGCCAUGCUCACCAACUAGAAUUGCCAUGCAUGCCAACACAAAUUGCGAUCAAAAUGAUACGUAAAUGCCAUCCCUUCCAGCGAACGUUCACUGAGUGUUGGAGUCUAAAAAAAAACUAUGCACACAUUCGUAACUAUUUUUAUGGAGUACUAUUUUGCGUAGUUAUAUUCAAAAUUAAUUGCAAUGCUCAAACAGUUCUUGUUCCUUCACAGUACUAGUACUCAUAUUAUGUGUUCAUUUCUUUGGGAUUAUUUUCUUAGAAAAUGUCAAGGACUCAGAGUUGUGCAUUGAGAAUUGUAAAGCUCCUUCUAAUUUAUUUAUUUAUUUUGUAAAAGCCAGAAAAUAACUGUAUUUAGCGGCUCUACAAUAUUGUUUGUUGUAAAAAAAAAUGCCUUACAUGAGUCACUCGACAAUCUGAUUUGUAAGCUAUGCUGGUUCUCUGAACAUCAAUAUUGACUCCCAAAUUUUUUGUCUAUGGAACAAUUUGUUCUACCAGUAACUAACAAAGGAAACUUAUGUCUAUGCCUUCUAUAUCUGACGAAUUUGACCAGUGCAUGAACAAAGUGAAAGAGGUGGACUAGUAGAAAAAAAUACACUGCCAAACUUUCUUUCUUUCAAUAUCCUUGCUAUUUAUUCUUUUAAAUUAGCAUUAUUUUGUGCAUACUACUACAAAUGGUGCAUCUAUAUGUAUAUUGUGAUCCCAAAUUAUUUGACUAUUAUAAUAUCUUAUUCAUUUUUUAAUACACACCACUUCUUGCUCAUAGUUGCAUUUCCAUAAAUUGAAGCACAUCAAAUGGAUAGCUUAAUAUCCUUUUCAAUCUUCGCUCCAAGUUUUUUUACAGCAACGUCUUUGCUCAAUCUCAGUUAGUAAAUCUCAACCAGCUGUGAUAUUAUUUCAUUUGAGAGAAAUUUUGUUGUGAUGCCAAACCUACUGGUCCUUAGGAUCAUGUAACUUGUAAACGAGCUUGCACCUAGCUGUGCUAUUUUAAGCUUAGCGUCACCUGUUCUAUCCUCAGUUAGGAUGCAUGUUUGGCUUUUCAUGGACAAUUUCCUUAGCCACAUGCGCAUGAUUCCAAUUUAAUGCACUGCUUGUUUGAUUUUUCAGGCCAAGAUGGAUAAGCUUCUACUGGAUCAUGGAUGAAGUUGACGCUGCGUCAUACUUAUGCCUACUAUCAUCACGCAGAAUAAUUAAGUACACAGAAAAGAAACAACAACUUGUAUUCAGGGCCAAAAAAAGCAUCAAACUAGUAUGAUACUUUAUUCUUGUUUAAAAUAGCUGAACUUACUACCAAGCUGUAAGAGGCAUACGGUGCAAGAUUUGUCGCUAGAACUUUUGUUCAGGUAGUAAUCUUGUGGAUCGACUACCAUUUUACAUGUUUCAAAAUGUAUGAACCCCAUACUUUUUAUCUAUUGUUUCUGAAUGUCAAAAUCACGUGGAUCAUCUUCAU